This 254-nucleotide ribosomal RNA is filed under the name uncultured bacterium. RNAcentral's name for it is "partial 16S ribosomal RNA". It matches the Rfam family "Bacterial small subunit ribosomal RNA", at positions 524 to 776 of the family's 1533-position model. The record is from RNAcentral.
UACGGGGGGGGCUAGCGUUGUUCGGAAUUACUGGGCGUAAAGGGCGCGCAGGCGGCUGCUCAAGUCAGGCGUGAAAGGCCUGGGCUCAACCCGGGAAUUGCGCUUGAGACUGGGCUGGCUUGAGUGCGGGAGAGGAUGGUGGAAUUCCCAGUGUAGAGGUGAAAUUCGUAGAUAUUGGGAAGAACACCGGUGGCGAAGGCGGCCAUCUGGACCGCAACUGACGCUGAGGCGCGAAAGCGUGGGGAGCAAACAGG